RNAcentral lists this ribosomal RNA (493 nucleotides) under uncultured bacterium. RNAcentral describes it as "partial 16S ribosomal RNA". It matches the Rfam family "Bacterial small subunit ribosomal RNA", at positions 29 to 523 of the family's 1533-position model. The record is from RNAcentral.
AUUGAACGCUGGCGGCAUGCUUUACACAUGCAAGUCGAACGGUAACAGGUUAAGCUGACGAGUGGCGAACGGGUGAGUAAUGCAUCGGAACGUGCCCGAUCGUGGGGGAUAACGCAGCGAAAGCUGCGCUAAUACCGCAUACGAUCUGAGGAUGAAAGCGGGGGACCGUAAGGCCUCGCGCGAUCGGAGCGGCCGAUGUCAGAUUAGGUAGUUGGUGGGGUAAAGGCCCACCAAGCCGACGAUCUGUAGCUGGUCUGAGAGGACGACCAGCCACAGUGGGACUGGGACGCGGCCCAGACUCCUACGGGAGGCAGCAGUGGGGAAUUUUGGACAAUGGGCGAAAGCCCGAUCCAGCAAUGCCGCGUGCAGGAAGAAGGCCGUCGGGUUGUAAACUGCUUUUGUACGGAGCGAAAAGGUCCUUUCUAAUACAAGGGGCUCAUGACGGUACCGUAAGAAUAAGCACCGGCUAACUACGUGCCAGCCGCCGCAGUAA